RNAcentral lists this ribosomal RNA (613 nucleotides) under Kocuria flava. RNAcentral describes it as "bacterial SSU rRNA". It matches the Rfam family "Bacterial small subunit ribosomal RNA", at positions 72 to 695 of the family's 1533-position model. Lineage: Bacteria; Bacillati; Actinomycetota; Actinomycetes; Micrococcales; Micrococcaceae. The record is from RNAcentral.
GCUCCAGCUUGCUGGGGUGGAUGAGUGGCGAACGGGUGAGUAAUACGUGAGUAACCUGCCCUUGACUCUGGGAUAAGCCUGGGAAACCGGGUCUAAUACUGGAUACGACGUCCUACCGCAUGGUGGGGGGUGGAAAGGGUUUUAUUGGUUUUGGAUGGGCUCACGGCCUAUCAGCUUGUUGGUGGGGUAAUGGCCUACCAAGGCGACGACGGGUAGCCGGCCUGAGAGGGUGACCGGCCACACUGGGACUGAGACACGGCCCAGACUCCUACGGGAGGCAGCAGUGGGGAAUAUUGCACAAUGGGCGCAAGCCUGAUGCAGCGACGCCGCGUGAGGGAUGACGGCCUUCGGGUUGUAAACCUCUUUCAGCAGGGAAGAAGCCACAAGUGACGGUACCUGCAGAAGAAGCGCCGGCUAACUACGUGCCAGCAGCCGCGGUAAUACGUAGGGCGCAAGCGUUGUCCGGAAUUAUUGGGCGUAAAGAGCUCGUAGGCGGUUUGUCGCGUCUGCUGUGAAAGCCCGGGGCUCAACCCCGGGUCUGCAGUGGGUACGGGCAGACUAGAGUGCAGUAGGGGAGACUGGAAUUCCUGGUGUAGCGGUGAAAUGCGCAGAU